AACCUAUAGAACAAAGAAGAAGAUGGAAAAAAGAAAGUGGCAACUGAUGCAGUGAAAGAUUAAUGUUGAUUUGGUUUUUUUUACUCUGAUGUACCUGAUAAUACAUGUGGCAUUUUGUAAAUGUUUAUGUAUACCAUAUCGGCAAAUACACCAUGUGUCCUGAAAAAUUCCUCGGCUGAACCGUUGAGACAGCUUACAUCGGAGGAAAAGUUGUUGUAAUUAAAAAAAAAUAAAAAAAAUAAAAAAUAAAAUUCAAGAGUCUCAAGACUGUGAAAACGGGAAGCAUGUGCGGAGUCCACAGUCCAUAACACACAGCGCAAGGUGGCAGUCGCUUCCCCACCUACUCGCUCAGUCUUCCUCUCUACUCGUUCACUCAAAGCUUCCCUCACAAAUUCUCCGUAGCCGUCCCCUAAAUCAAUGUGGCAAGCUCUCUUGGCCGCCGCAGUUGCUGGAUCCACUGGUCUCGUCGCCAAGCACUUGUUCAAGCCAUGUUCCGCCGAUCCCACUACCACUUCCCUGCCUGAACAAACCCAAAAGGUUCACGAAGACAUUAAAACUCAGGAAAAGGGCGUUUCUAAUGGGGGUUUCCAGAUUCUAAGCUCUUCCACAUUUGACUCUCAACUGUUGUUGGAAGAUGAUAGUGUUUGUGAGAAACAAGAGGAAAUCUUUCAGUUUUCCUGUUCUGGCUCUCGUGGUGGAACUGGGGUAAGAAUUUGUUCCAGGAAUUUGAGCAAGAGACCCGGGGUUCCGAGUCGUGGGUUGAAAAAAGGAGGUGGGAGUGAAGGAUCUAAUCGAGGAGUGGAGCCCGGGAGGCGUAGGAAAAGGGUCGGUGUUUGCUUGAAGAAGAGGAGGACUAUCAAGAAUGCCGCUGGAAAUCGUGGAUCGCGCUUCUCUGAUGAUGCCUUCUUGUUUAAUUGGGCUCUUGGUCUUGGGAUCAUGUGUAUGCUGUUAGCUAGAAAAGCUGAAAUCAGUAAACUUAAUAUUGCAAUGGGUGAGACUGCAACAGUUCUUCAGGAGUUAAAAGCCGAACUUCAUAAAAGGAAAUCAUCCUGCAGUUUGCAUGUUUCCAGUUCUGCCGGUGAAGUCAUCGCAAACAGUCAGCCUACUAGCUGGAAGCAUAUUCAGACACGACUUCAUAAGUCAUGUGCAGAUAAUCAAGGCCCUAAUGACGUAAAGAUUUGCAGUUUCCCUACAGUUGAUGAUGGCGAAUGUUUAAGUAGUGUUAUUACUGAAGAGCCUGAGACAGAGGUACAAGAAAUGGAUCAGCUGGAAGAAGAGCUUGAGUCCGAGCUGCAAAAACUUCCAUGGUGCACUGUAGAAGGUCCUCACCACGAGGGAUUGAAGGAUCUGAUUGAGAAAUUUCAGCUAAAGGUAGACAGACAAGGUUCUGAUGCCCAUAGAUUCCACGGAAUAUUGCCAGCAGAACUAGAUCAGAAACUGUGUCAUUUACUCAUUCAACAACAGGAAAACCAAAUAGUGGCGCUGGAAUCUGACUUGCAUUGAGCACAAUCCAAACUGAAUGAGAAAUAAGCCAAACUCCAAGCACUGAAGGACUGUGUUAAACGCCUAACUGAAUUUUCUCUCUCAGCUGUCUCAGAUGAUGAAACCGACCACAUUGAACAAGCGGAAGCCAAUGGUUGGAAUUAUGACAACAUUGGAUCUGAGUCUAAAAGAUCAGUGGUUGGCACGAAAAGACCCAUUGAAUCUGAACCAUUUACUUAUCAUUUGAGAUAACAAAGUUUCAUACUUGGGCAUGAAGGUAAUUCUACUAAUUAAUUAUGGACACAUUCUAUCAGUAUCUUCUUGUGUGGGCCACGCGGCCUCGACCUCUCAAACUUUGUAGGCAAACUGUAUCGACAACUCCUUUACAUGGCCCCAUUCACCCAAAAGAUAAAUAAAUAAAUAAAUAAAUAAAAAAUAAAAAAAUCUCCUUUACGUGGCUCC
RNA transcript from Ziziphus jujuba (common jujube), 1944 nucleotides. RefSeq lists it as uncharacterized. The record is from RefSeq and is a predicted model, not a curated record. The transcript has 4 exons. Lineage: Eukaryota; Viridiplantae; Streptophyta; Magnoliopsida; Rosales; Rhamnaceae.